GAACCUAGAGCUUGCUGAAGACUUCUUAGACAAGACAUGAAAAGCAUGAAGAGUGGCCUUCACAAUAACGCCAUAGAUUAACACAACAGAAAUGACAUGGCCUACGACGGCCAUACAGAACUAGACAUCGAGUCAUUUGAAAAGCCCUGAGAACGUUCAGAGUGAAUACGUGAUUAUUUUUAUGCCUUUCUGUACAGUAUAUUUCUUAAUGUGAGGUAAUAAUACUAUCACAUGUUGCUUAAAAAAAUAAAAGGAAGGAAUCUCAAAAUACCCUGACCAAUGACAUUAGUCAUCAGUCCUUACACUGGGACUAAGCCAAUGGCGACACGUGUGGAACUCACCUGUAGCUGUACUGACACAAGCUCGUUUCAGUCGGUGAAAUUCUAGUCACUUUACUUGACAGUGAAUCUUCACACAAUCUUUUGUAAGAUGAAAAAUGAGAUUCCUUCUCAAUGUAGUGCUAUCAUUUAGCUUAGUUUAGCUGUGUGUUUUGUUCUGUUGUGGCUGCAAUUCAACUUCUAGAAAAUCACUGAAGUGUUCGUGAAGCCUAAGAAGAAUCAGAGGGAAGAACUGGGAUUCAUCUGGGAAGGUUGCACAGUUAUACUGUCCUCCUCACCCUCAGGUAAACUAAGGGACGACAAACUGCCACAGGCUCGUCAUGGAAAUCUGAAAGCUGUGUUUGCACUUCUUCUUCUCUUCCAUGUCUCUUCCUCUUUUGUUUAAAUACCC
RNAcentral lists this long non-coding RNA (729 nucleotides) under Bos taurus (domestic cattle). Its description in RNAcentral is "long non-coding RNA NONBTAT009581". The record is from RNAcentral. Lineage: Eukaryota; Metazoa; Chordata; Mammalia; Artiodactyla; Bovidae.